UACGAAGGGGGCUAGCGUUGCUCGGAAUUACUGGGCGUAAAGGGCGCGUAGGCGGACAGUUUAGUCAGAGGUAAAAGCCCAGGGCUCAACCUUGGAACUGCCUUUGAUACUGACUGUCUUGAGUUCGGGAGAGGUGAGUGGAAUGCCGAGUGUAGAGGUGAAAUUCGUAGAUAUUCGGCGGAACACCAGUGGCGAAGGCGACUCACUGGCCCGAUACUGACGCUGAGGCGCGAAAGCGUGGGGAGCAAACAGG
RNAcentral lists this ribosomal RNA (253 nucleotides) under uncultured bacterium. Its description in RNAcentral is "partial 16S ribosomal RNA". It matches the Rfam family "Bacterial small subunit ribosomal RNA", at positions 524 to 776 of the family's 1533-position model. The record is from RNAcentral. RNAcentral also lists the same sequence under 1 other name.